Long non-coding RNA from Talpa occidentalis (Iberian mole), 412 nucleotides. RefSeq lists it as uncharacterized. The transcript is spliced from 3 exons. The record is from RefSeq and is a predicted model, not a curated record. NCBI's taxonomy places the organism in Eukaryota, Metazoa, Chordata, Mammalia, Eulipotyphla, Talpidae.
UUUAUUCUGUGGACUAGAAUAUAAUCUGGGGAAUGCAUUGUACACUAUUCUGGGGCUGACGUUCCCCUCCGCACUCCAAACCAAAGCCAUCAAGACAUCGGGAAUGAGAAAUCCUGUCACCACCAAAGGGAAGGUUGCUGGGACCAGAGCUUGGAGUCAAGCAGCCAGGAAUUUGGUCUGAGCUGCUGGGGCACAUCUGAUGCAGCUGCAAGUGACGGAUCCCUCAGGGAGGAAUGCACAAGUUGGUCUCCCCCAACUCUGGCAGUUCCCCACUCAUGUGACAGCGGCCGAGAAUGAACCAGCCCUGCAGAGGCCCAGUGCUCAACCGCUGCACCACCAGGGGAAGCCCAACAGCUGCUUUUUAAUGUUUGCAAUAGGAUCCAUUUCAGGAUCUGCAGGUGAAUGACAUUUA